GGCUCAGGAUGAAGCUAGCUACAGGCUUAACACAUGCAAGUCGNGGGGAAACGACAUUGGAAGCUUGCUUCCGAUAGGCGUCGACCGGCGCACGGGUGAGUAACGCGUAUCCAACCUGCCCACCACUUGGGGAUAACCUUGCGAAAGUAAGACUAAUACCCAAUGAUAUCUCUAGAAGACAUCUGAAAGAGAUUAAAGAUGUAUCGGUGAUGGAUGGGGAUGCGUCUGAUUAGCUUGUUGGCGGGGUAACGGCCCACCAAGGCGACGAUCGGUAGGGGUUCUGAGAGGAAGGUCCCCCACAUUGGAACUGAGACACGGUCCAAACUCCUACGGGAGGCAGCAGUGAGGAAUAUUGGUCAAUGGACGCAAGUCUGAACCAGCCAAGUAGCGUGCAGGAUGACGGCCCUAUGGGUUGUAAACUGCUUUUAUGCGGGGAUAAAGUGUGGGACGUGUCCCAUUUUGUAGGUACCGCAUGAAUAAGGACCGGCUAAUUCCGUG
This 498-nucleotide ribosomal RNA is filed under the name uncultured bacterium. RNAcentral describes it as "bacterial SSU rRNA". It matches the Rfam family "Bacterial small subunit ribosomal RNA", at positions 21 to 507 of the family's 1533-position model. The record is from RNAcentral.